This 310-nucleotide ribosomal RNA is filed under the name uncultured bacterium. RNAcentral's name for it is "bacterial SSU rRNA". It matches the Rfam family "Bacterial small subunit ribosomal RNA", at positions 335 to 637 of the family's 1533-position model. The record is from RNAcentral.
ACUCCUACGGGAGGCAGCAGUGGGGAAUAUUGGACAAUGGGGAAACCCGUAGCAUCCAGCCAUGCCGCGUGUGUGAAGAAGGCCUUCGGGUUGUAAAGCACUUUCAGUGGGAGGAAGGUUGAUGGUUAAUACCUAUCAGCUGUGACGUUACCCACAGAAGAAGCACCGGCUAACUCCGUGCCAGCAGCCGCGGUAAUACGGAGGGUGCAAGCGUUAAUCGGAAUUACUGGGCGUAAAGCGUGCGCAGGCGGCCUGUUAAGUCAGAUGUGAAAGCCCGGGGCUUAACCUCGGAAUUGCAUUUGAAACUGGC